AGCGAACGCUGGCGGCAGGCUUAACACAUGCAAGUCGAACGAACCCUUCGGGGUUAGUGGCGGACGGGUGAGUAACACGUGGGAACGUGCCUUUUGGUUCGGAACAACACAGGGAAACUUGUGCUAAUACCGGAUGUGCCCUUCGGGGAAGGAUUUAUCGCCAUUAGAGCGGCCCGCGUCUGAUUAGCUAGUUGGUGAGGUAAAGGCUCACCAAGGCUACGAUCAGUAGCUGGUCUGAGAGGAUGAUCAGCCACACUGGGACUGAGACACGGCCCAGACUCCUACGGGAGGCAGCAGUGGGGAAUCUUGCGCAAUGGGGGAAACCCUGACGCAGCCAUGCCGCGUGAAUGAUGAAGGUCUUAGAUUGUAAAUUCUUUCAGCGGGGACGAUAAUGACGGUACCCGCAGAAGAAGCUCCGGCUAACUUCGUGCCAGCCG
This 437-nucleotide ribosomal RNA is filed under the name uncultured bacterium. Its description in RNAcentral is "bacterial SSU rRNA". It matches the Rfam family "Bacterial small subunit ribosomal RNA", at positions 29 to 514 of the family's 1533-position model. The record is from RNAcentral.